RNAcentral lists this ribosomal RNA (560 nucleotides) under Dactylogyrus sp. DD AT-2021. RNAcentral's name for it is "partial large subunit ribosomal RNA". It matches the Rfam family "Eukaryotic large subunit ribosomal RNA", at positions 87 to 616 of the family's 3401-position model. The record is from RNAcentral. Lineage: Eukaryota; Metazoa; Platyhelminthes; Monogenea; Dactylogyridea; Dactylogyridae.
UUGCGAGUGAACGGAGAUUAGCCCAUCACCGAAGUCUAUUCGCUCUUGUGAACAAGACAAUGUGGUGUUGAAGCUUGUACCUGGGAGCGCUUGCCUACUCGAAGUCCGACUCCGAUUACGGCUAGGACUAUGCCCACAGCGGGUGAAAGGCCCGUACGGGUAGGCUGUGUUGUUAUUAAGUGCUCCCCAGAUGUGCAUGCUUUCGAGUCGGAUUGCUUGAGAAUGCAGUCCAAAGUGGGUGGUAAACUCCAUCCAAGGCUAAAUACUGGCACGAGUCCGAUAGUAGACAAGUACCGUGAGGGAAAGUUGAAAAGUACUCUGAAGAGAGAGUAAAUAGUACGUGAAGCCGCUUGCAGGGAAGCUGGUGGAGUCAAGCUUCGUGCUUGCGAAUUUGUUGUCAGGAGAUGAUGUGUUGGAACGUGAUACUGGGUAGCCUGGAAAUGGUUUGCCGCAUCCGUGCGGUCCAAGUCAUACCGGGCAGUGUGUUUGGAACUGGUAUCUAUUCUUCCGCUUCCCUGAUACUGAAUUUCGCAUGGUCAUACAUCACGGUCAAUAAUGGA